CCUACGGGAGGCAGCAGUGAGGAAUAUUGGUCAAUGGGCGCGAGCCUGAACCAGCCAAGUCGCGUGAGGGAAGACGGUCCUAUGGAUUGUAAACCUCUUUUGUCGGGGAGCAAAAGACGCCACGCGUGGCGUUCCGAGAGUACCCGAAGAAAAAGCAUCGGCUAACUCCGUGCCAGCAGCCGCGGUAAUACGGAGGAUGCGAGCGUUAUCCGGAUUUAUUGGGUUUAAAGGGUGCGCAGGCGGAAGAUUAAGUCAGCGGUAAAAGUGCGGGGCUCAACCUCGUCGAGCCGUUGAAACUGGUUUUCUUGAGUGAGUGAGAAGUAUGCGGAAUGCGUGGUGUAGCGGUGAAAUGCAUAGAGAUCACGCAGAACUCCGAUUGCGAAGGCAGCAUACCGGCGCUCAACUGACGCUCAUGCACGAAAGUGUGGGUAUCGAACAGGAUUAGAUACCCUUGUAGUC
This 459-nucleotide ribosomal RNA is filed under the name uncultured bacterium. Its description in RNAcentral is "partial 16S ribosomal RNA". It matches the Rfam family "Bacterial small subunit ribosomal RNA", at positions 338 to 795 of the family's 1533-position model. The record is from RNAcentral.